UACGUAGGGUGCAAGCGUUAAUCGGAAUUACUGGGCGUAAAGCGUGCGCAGGCGGUGAUGUAAGACAGGUGUGAAAUCCCCGGGCUCAACCUGGGAACUGCAUCUGUGACUGCAUCGCUGGAGUGCGGCAGAGGGGGAUGGAAUUCCGCGUGUAGCAGUGAAAUGCGUAGAUAUGCGGAGGGAACACCGAUGGCGAAGGCAAUCCCCUGGGCCUGCACUGACGCUCAUGCACGAAAGCGUGGGGAGCAAACAGG
This 254-nucleotide ribosomal RNA is filed under the name uncultured bacterium. RNAcentral's name for it is "partial 16S ribosomal RNA". It matches the Rfam family "Bacterial small subunit ribosomal RNA", at positions 524 to 776 of the family's 1533-position model. The record is from RNAcentral.